UUUUGUCUGUGUGUGAAUGGUGUUCAGCACCAGGGAAGGUGUGUUUGCCUGUGUGUGGAUGAUAUUUAUCACUAGGGCAGUUGAGUUCUCAC
Molecule: microRNA precursor, 92 nt
Filed under: Branchiostoma floridae (Florida lancelet)
Lineage: Eukaryota; Metazoa; Chordata; Leptocardii; Amphioxiformes; Branchiostomatidae
Description: mir-2060 microRNA precursor family
Rfam family: mir-2060 microRNA precursor family
Source: Rfam by way of RNAcentral